RNAcentral lists this non-coding RNA (86 nucleotides) under Hydrogenophaga taeniospiralis CCUG 15921. RNAcentral describes it as "Burkholderia RNA 7 (anti-hemB)". It matches the Rfam family "Burkholderia RNA 7 (anti-hemB)". Rfam says of the family: This RNA motif was identified by computational search in b-proteobacteria Burkholderia. Lineage: Bacteria; Pseudomonadati; Pseudomonadota; Betaproteobacteria; Burkholderiales; Comamonadaceae. The record is from Rfam by way of RNAcentral.
CCUCCCGCUUUUCCUCCCUGAGCGGGUGCCUUAGUGUGUGACAGCAAAAAGGCUUCCCAACCCGGCCCACGGCCGGGUUCUUUUUU